AGUGAACGCUGGCGGUAGGCCUAACACAUGCCAGUCGAACGGCAGCACAGUAAGAGUUUGCUCUUACGGGUGGCGAGUGGCGGACGGGUGAGGAAUACAUCGGAAUCUUCUUUUUCGUGGGGGAUAACGUAGGGAAACUUACGCUAAUACCGCAUACGAUCUACGGGUGAAAGCAGUGGAUCUUCGGACCUUGCGCGAUUGAAUGAGCCGAUGUCGGAUUAGCUAGUUGGCGGGGUAAAGGCCCACCAAGGCGACGAUCCGUAGCUGGUCUGAGAGGAUGAUCGGCCACACUGGAACUGAGACACGGUCCAGACUCCUACGGGAGGCAGCAGUGGGGAAUAUUGGGCAAUGGGCGCAAGCCUGAUCCAGCCAUACCGCGUGGGUGAAGAAGGCCUUCGGGUUGUAAAGCCCUUUUGUUGGGAAAGAAAAGCAGCAGGUUAAUACCCCGCUGUUCUGACGGUACCCAAAGAAUAAGCACCGGCUAACUUCGUG
RNAcentral lists this ribosomal RNA (492 nucleotides) under uncultured bacterium. Its description in RNAcentral is "partial 16S ribosomal RNA". It matches the Rfam family "Bacterial small subunit ribosomal RNA", at positions 29 to 507 of the family's 1533-position model. The record is from RNAcentral.